RNAcentral lists this unclassified non-coding RNA (349 nucleotides) under soil metagenome. RNAcentral describes it as "partial contains 5.8S ribosomal RNA, internal transcribed spacer 2, and large subunit ribosomal RNA". The stretch from base 1 to 121 matches the Rfam family "5.8S ribosomal RNA", at positions 35 to 154 of the family's 154-position model. The record is from RNAcentral.
GAUGAAGAACGCAGCGAAAUGCGAUAAGUAAUGCGAAUUGCAGAAUUUCCGUGAGUCAUCGAAUCUUUGAACGCACAUUGCGCCCGCUGGAACUCCGGCGGGCACGCCUGUCCGAGCGUCAUUUCAACCCUCAGGCCCCCCUUCGCGGGCGGGCCUGGUGUUGGGGCCCGGCCGCUACCCUGCGGCCGUCCCCUAAAUUCAGUGGCGGCCUCGCCGUGAUCCCUUGCGUAGUAAUGCACCUCGCACCGGAGAGCGCCGUGGCCACGCCGUAAAACCCCCAAUUUUCAAUGGUUGACCUCGGAUCAGGUGGGAAUACCCGCUGAACUUAAGCAUAUCAAUAAGCGGAGGA